CAAAAUGGGUCGCCACAAGGCAGCAGAUCCAAACGCCGACCAAAGGUGUAUAAAGCAAGGACUGCCAUCAAUUAUCCGAGAACGAUAUCACGAUGUUAUUAUCGUGAUCAUUUCUAUUCUGUCUAUCAAAGCAACGAAAAUUGCGUGCCUGGCAUCAUUACUCUUUCUCAUGAAAGUGAAUGAAGCUGUUGAUCACUUUGAUUAUGAAUUUUUUGUAUGGGAUGGGAUGAUGGAUCCAGCAUGAUUAAACGUUGUUUUAAGGCUACGUGACAACAUCGACAAAGUCUUUCUUAUGCUACCGGAUUUUCGGCAGUUGGUAGACGCUGCUAGAAUCGAUUGGCCCAAAAAUGGUGGAUUUGGUAAUAGUUUCAAGUACUUGUAUGAACAAUACGAAGACAACGUUCGAACAAACUUGAAAACGCAUUGCGAAUCCCGUUUAAGAAAUUUUUUCAAGCUAAAGACAUUCCAGCUCAAUGACAAUGCAAUUCGAUAUAACUACUUUAACAACUUGUACGGCUCGCUCAAUGAAUUGCCAUAUUAAGACGAAACUGACAUCAAAAAUGCCGUUAACUACGCAUAUCAUCGGAAAGACAACACGAAUGACGAUGUUGAGCGACAGCUUCGAUUGGGCGAGUUGUUGGAUGAGCUACGUUGGUUAGGUGCACCAGAAGAUUGCAACAUUAAAGAAUAUGUCAGCGAAAAUUGGUUCCAUUCGAUUCGUAUGUGGAUAAAUAUUCAACGUGAAAUCCAAUGGUAUCACAAUGAGUACAAAUGUCGUCGUGAUGCACCACAAAUUAAAAAUUUUGUCGUUGUACCAAUGUGCAGUUUCCAACGUCGUCACAUUCGCAUCGAUACCGACGCAUUGUACACCAUCCUAGCCAGUGUAAAAUUGGUGCCAUUGAAGUGCGGUUUGAAAAAACGCAAACGACCAAUUCGAUCAACAUAACGAGCAACGAAUUCCGCAGAAAUAAAAUCUUAAGUUGGAAUCUGUUUUUCAAUGUGGAAAAAAUUCAACAACUGGUACAUUUCAAAAAGUAUUUCGAUUUCCAAAUUUGUUCGGACGGUGUGUCUGUUUCGAUGAUGUACAAAAAGCCAAAAUUACCACCAGUCGAAAUAAGUGAUGCUGAAAUCAUGAAAAUGUACAAAGGGAACAAAUUGAAGUAUGCUAUUGGCUGUGACCCGGGCAUGAAAACCUAGAACGCUUCAGUGCGGUGGAAGCCGAACGAAUCACCCGAUUAUUUACAUACGACGAGAAAGCUGAUCGCAAUCGAGUUGCAGCGACUCUGGGUACAAUGCCAUCGCCAAGAGAAACAUCAUGGCGCUCGUAUAUUGAACAUCGACUACGAGUUAUGAAUGAUGGCAUUGAAACGUACACGUGUAAGCAAUAUGCACGCUUGGGAUUGGACAAGCAUAUCGACUCGGUUCGUGCGAUCGACAAAACGGCUUGCAAACUGACACGCAAUCAAGCAGCAAUUUUCUACAUGGGAGCCAGUGGAUCCACACCAGCCAACUCACCGAUCAAAAUCAAAAAACACGUGCGAUGCCCAGGCACUCGCAAACUGAUUGCAGCCAUCAUGAAACGUGGAAAUUGUAUCGUUCGGAUGGUCGAUGAGUAUAUGACAUCACAACAUUGUCCAUUGUGCUUCAAACGAUUUCCACUAGCAACUCGAAGCCAUCGGUAUAAGGUAUGUGUUGGUUGUGUACCGAAUCCUAUUGUUGGUCUGCCACCGCUCAUCGUAAGCAAUGUGAGCAAACGAUUAUUACAACUACGACGAACAAUCGCAAGAGUGUGGCGUGAGAUGCGAGAUAUGGGCGAUGUCAUUGCUGCAACUCUCCAAGAUGGAAUACGAGUCGUUUGGUAUCAAAGAAGCGUCGCUUCUUCAAAACAUGGCUACCAAACGCAGUAAACGUUGAAAUCGAGGGAGCUGCUCAAGCACAACCAAUGCUCACAACUGUAUGGCAUCGUGAUAUCGCAGCAGCGAAGCUGAUUCUGUACAAAAGUGAAUGCGUGGUGUUCAAGCGGACGGUUCAUCCGAAUUUACGAAGACCUCGCCACAAUGCCAACAAUGUGCCACUACCGUUCUAUGGGAAUGGAAAUCAGCAGCCAUAGUAGCAGCCCUCAUUCAACAACAUUCAAACAAUACUAAAUUUAGAAAUUAGUUUAUAACAAUUAUUUGUUAGUUCGCUAGGCUUGAUUGUGGCCUUGCCAAGGUACGAGUACCUCUUGGUAUAAAUUGUACUCGUAUACUUACUAAUACUUGUAAUGCUGACAACAUCGGAAUUCACCUGGUGAGAGAAAUAACAUUAAAAUGAACUUUUCCGCACUGUGGAUUUAUUACAUAUCUUUUACUUGAAUUUGAAUAAAAUAAUUUUUGACACACUUUUUAUACAAAAAUUACUAAAAAUUGGAUUUUUUGUAUGGAAUCAAUGCCUGUAGGAUAUCUUAAUGCCGUGGAACUUUGCAAUGGGAAUUUUUAUUAGAAAAAACUAACAUUCUGAAAAUUUGAAGAAAAUUCAAAAUCCCAUACAAAAUUUUCAAAAAAAAUUUUGGUCCGAAAUUCUGCUCAUUUGCUAGGGUUUUUCAUUUGAAAAAAGAAGAAUUUUUUGACAUGUAAUUAUUACCGUAAUUUAAGUAAGUAAAUUACAUGGUCGAAUUGGCACGUAAAUUACGUCGACUUUGAAAAUAAAUAUUUUCUUAAUGUAAGAUGUCUUAAUGUAAGAUGAUUCAGAAAGUCUGUUACGUAUUUAGUUGUGUGAUAAACUAUCAAAUGGAAAAUAUUCGUUUGAGUUUACAUGUUUAAGCCGCCAUGUAACGCUAUGUUCAUCAGCUUCGAAGUGAAACGCAGGAAAGACACUUUUUCAUGAUUUCGCUGCCCAGAAAAGUACCAAAAUAUUGUUUGAGAAGAAAUGUUUUACGCUUCAAUAUUGAGAAUAUUCCUUUCUCAUUCGAGAAUUGACUUUCAUCAGUUCUUAUAAACAUUCAUCAGUUAUCCCAAUUUCCGAAUUAUAUUUCCAGAUAUUUUGGGUUUUUUACGUUUCGACGUAAAUUACGUAAAUUACGUGGUGAAACCAAAAAACGUGUAAACUUGCCAACCCAGUCUGAAGCCAAUAUUUUUGUUUUGACUAAAACAAUUUAUUUUGCAGGGAUUCGCCCGGAUUUCACUCGGAUUUUGAGAAAAAAAAAUGAGUUACAUCGCAAUAAAAAAAAUUAGCAAGCUUAACAUAAUCACAGCAAAUUUUGAAGAAAUUUCAAUUCAUAUUAUUGCCUUCCCAUACAAAAUUUUCGUUUUUGAGGGAAAAAUAAAAUGAAAUGUUUCUCAUAGGCAUCACACCAGACAUGAAACUUUACCCUAUCAAAGUUGCUCAAAAUCUAAUAAUUACUAUUUUUGGCCAGCCGCAAUCAUGCUGUAAAGUCAGAUUUUGAAUUAGCAACGUUUCUUGAAGGAAAGUUAUCAAAUGUUAACAAAUUUUUGCAAUUCGGACAUCGAGAAAACAGCUGAUUCACAUGAUGGCAGAAAACAUGUUUUAGGAUGGUCUUAGUUUUUCGACCGAUUUCAAUACCUUACACAUUAGGUAUGUGCGGAAAAGUAAAAUGAAAUAUUACAAAAUCUUGAUGAAAAAAUAGAAUUAUUUAAAAAUUCGGAUACGUUGUGUUUUUCUUCAGUUUUCUUCUUUUCUACUAGAAUUAUUAUAUGCGUAAAAUUCUUUAAGGUUAAUCAUGAUUCUUGAACACCUUACCUUGGCGUUUGCACUCAUUGUAUUUCGUUGCAAUUCGCUGCCGCUAGACGAAUCAACGCUUUCUGCAUGUAUGGUGGACAAGGCCAGAUCAUGUAAACCUGAUGUGGUAUUGCGUAGCAAAAUUUCUAGGGGACUCGACUCGGAUACCUUGUGAUUUUCUUCAGUUUUCUUCUUUUCUAUUAGAAUUAACAUAGUGUAAAAUUAGUCAGACACUAUGAUCUUAUAUGCCUGCUUAUAUCUUAGCUCACCCUGAUGUCGUACGACUAUAAUCAUGGUACGAUUAAGCAUUUGAAUCCAUAGUUGAACAGUUUGUGCAUCCGAUGAAAAUUCAAUUUCUUGGUUACCUUUUUCGUUCGUUGUAUAAUCGAAAAUAGUUGCGUUGAUCUUCGAAUGUGAACCCCAGUGUGAUGUGUCUAAAGUGUCCACGGUAUGAAAGUAUGUUUUUGUUCGUUUGCUCCGUAUAAAUGACGCAUUUUUCGAAUUGGAAAGCCUUGCCCUUAUAUCGGCGACGCUCACUUUUCUCAAAAAUGUCAAAUUUAUCGACUAGACAAAAUUUUCCUUGGCACAGUGUGUGCAACUAGUGAUUCGUUUACUGGUAAUUUGAAAUUAAAAUUCUAUGUAUCAAGUUCAACUCACUUCACUGCAAUCAAUGUGAUCAAUAUCAUUGAUGUUCAUUGAUCCAUUUAAUGUAUCCAAAAGACUUUGAAUUCUUUUCUCCGCCAAACAACAUGCACCCAAUUCAUUUUUAAUACUAUCGUCAUGCACUGAAAAUUUCAGACUGAAAUGAAUCGCUUACCGAGUUCCGAAAAUAGUUGACCCAAUAACAACUUGUACUUCGGCAGUCGUUGAAUGGGUUGCACUAAAAAACUAUUCACACCAAGCUUAUCGACGAUUUCAUUUUGAAUUUGCUUGAAAUAGUCGCGAUUUUCAAUACAUAUUUUUUCAGACUUUUGAUGAUUAAUCGCAUACAAUAUAUAUAUAUAUAUAGAAAUAGUCUUUCUGUAAACAAAGGACAAAUGAAUCAUCUCUAAAUAAUCAUCUCUAAUAAUAUCAAUAAACCUCAAUGAAAUUAAGAAAUGUGUGGCAAAUCUCAACAAUGUCCAUAUUGCAUUCUUUCAGGGCUGGAUAGAAAAUGUUCUCAUGAAAAUCUUUGAUUCGAUUAACAUUGCCAAAGACGCGAUACUGUUGUCCACGCAGCUGAGGUGGCAUAUCUUUUCGAUGGAAAUUUUUCACAUAACCAUCGAUGCCAUGUUUCAAAGCUUUAAUAUAGGUUUCCUCAUUGUACAGAAGCUCUUCAAUGGUAUUGGUGAUUUGACUGAAAUUUUAAAAUCAAGAAACAUCGAGUUCUUACUUAAAUGGAACGUGUAAAAAAGCUCGCUGUGAUAUUCAUACCCAGAUGAUGCUGAUGACAUUGAAUUGAAUGAUAUUCGUGAUGAUAUAUUUGUAUCGGAUGUAAGGGAAUUUGGCCAAUUAAUCUUUUCAAGUAUUCCAGACGGUCUAAAAUAAUGAUAAAAAUUCAAACAAACGCGCUCACACAAACACAACCACGCACUUGAAUCAGCCAAUACCAUUCAUAUUUCAUUUAUUAAUUAGAAUAUAAGAGGAUCAGUAGGUUGAAUAGGUUCAGAUAAGUCAAUACCAUACACUGUUCAAUUAGAAUAUAAGAGGAUUAAAUAA
Contarinia nasturtii (swede midge) is the source of this 5415-nucleotide long non-coding RNA. RefSeq lists it as uncharacterized. Lineage: Eukaryota; Metazoa; Arthropoda; Insecta; Diptera; Cecidomyiidae. The record is from RefSeq and is a predicted model, not a curated record. The transcript has 4 exons.